AAAGGAAAAAGUUUUGGGGAUGCUGAGGUGGAUCACUUGGACAUUCUUGCACCUGUUCUCCAGUGUUGCCGAAUACGGCAGACCACUUAUGAACGUCUUCUGCUCCUAUCUGGUGGUGGACUGUCCCUGGCAAUGCAAGAGCUGCUCAACCUUGACCCCCUUGCACCUGUCUUAACUCGUGCUCAUCUGUUGGCCCUCGACCGACGAGUUUUCCAUGUUCUGGCUGCCCUUUCUGCCUGUCGUGAGCGGCGAGGUAGUUGGCACCACAUCCUGUUUUAAGCACUAAGUACUCAGAGACCCCAAAGAGAUACAGUGAAGGUGUGUGAACAGUAUUUACCCGACAUGUGUGUAUACUUAGAACUUUGUAUUCUUAAUAGCAUUAGGAUAAACUUGUAUGAUAUCCUUGCUUUUAAUACCAAACUGUCUUCUUCCCUUUAGAUUGGUGUGUAGUUACAGUACAGUGACAUUACUUACUUUCUGAGCUCUUGCUUGAUUUUGAGAAUGGCAUUUCUGCACAUCUCUAUCUCCUUUUCUUUUAAGUUUAAAGACAUUAUCAUUUUCUUUUAUUUUCUCACUGUC
Molecule: unclassified non-coding RNA, 579 nt
Filed under: Portunus trituberculatus (swimming crab)
Lineage: Eukaryota; Metazoa; Arthropoda; Malacostraca; Decapoda; Portunidae
Description: glycosaminoglycan xylosylkinase-like, transcript variant X3
Source: RNAcentral